Long non-coding RNA from Mesocricetus auratus (golden hamster), 1909 nucleotides. RefSeq lists it as uncharacterized. The record is from RefSeq and is a predicted model, not a curated record. The transcript is spliced from 4 exons. NCBI's taxonomy places the organism in Eukaryota, Metazoa, Chordata, Mammalia, Rodentia, Cricetidae.
GGCUCAUGGCUACUCUUAUAAAGGAGAAGCAUUUAAUUGGGGAGGCUUCAUUUUCAAAGGUUUAGUCCAUUUCAUCAUAGUCUGGCAUGGUGGUUUGCAGGCAGACAUGGUGCUGGAAAAGAAACUGAGUGUCCCACAUCUUGGCUUGCAGGCAACAGUGAAUUGAGACACUGUGUGUGGUUUCAGCAUACAUGAGACCUCAAAGCCCACCUCCACAGUGACACACUUCCUCCAACAAGGCCACACCCACUCUAACAAAGCCACACCUCCUAAUAGUGCACUCCCUUUGGGGGCUGUUUUCUUUCAAACCACUACAUUAUGGCUUCCAGUUGAGUGUUUUUAUGGGAUCCCUGAGUAUGCAGAUGAGCAGGUCUCUGUUUCUUGUGUCUUCUCUUGGGAUCUUUUCCUUCUGUUUGUUUUUGGUUUUUGUCCAAUGCCAAUGCGUUAGUUUUAUUUUAUCAUUAUAUUACGUUGUAUUAUUAUCUCGUAGAAACCUGUUUGUUUUCUUUUCUUUUCUCUGUGUAUCCCUGGAUGUCCUGGAUGGAAUUCACUAUGUGGAAGGCUGGCCACCAUAAGCGUGGAGUCAUCAGUACAGUCUUAUCCCCAUAGCACCCCAGACACUGGAGCUGAGUGACUUCUCAGAGGGCUUCCAUCCCUUGUGGCUCAGAGGGAGUUUAGGCGUAACUCAGUGGAUAAUGAAGAGAGAAGACAUGGAGGAGGGAGAGUCCCUCAUGAUGAAGCCCCUCAUCCUGACCCAGCCAGGAAUGCUCUGCAAGUGACAGUCUCCAAGCCAGACUCCGCUGGAAGGCCUUCAAAAAAAGUGAAUCGAUACAUGUGGGUGUGGUGACACAUACCUGUAAUCCCCACACUCAGCAGCCUGAAGGUGAUUCAUUGAAAAUCGCAUCAUGUAAUCGGGAAGGAAAAUGUUCGGUGUUCCCCCCCCUCCCCAAAGCCUUGUUCCUUCUCUAGAACAGAUGAAACCACCAGCUCUGCCUGCCGCCUCCUGCUUUGAUGUAUAUUUCAUAAGAGCUCAUUGAUUCUUACCUGGACCCCCGUGAUCUAGAGUCCCAUCUCUUGGGUCUCUGUCACCUUGAACCACAUCACCUGCUUCAGGAAUUCUGAGUUGCACUGUGUUUGUAACAGAACACAAGACCCAGAGGAGAUGCUGGAACGAGCCCUCCGGACAUGCCACACCGUCAAGAUGAGCUGAGACAUGCGAUGGGGGAAACUGUCAUUCAAACACAAGACGGUCUUCAGCUCUGACAAUGCAUAAGAUUGACCCACUGAACGCAGAAAAGCCACUGUAUGUGAAGCUAUGCUCUGCCAUACUAAGACGAGAAUCAGCCACAGAAAAGGCAUCCAGGGACCACCAGCAGUGGCUUCACCCAGUGGGCCAAGUAGCAUUUCCUUUGACCAGCAGUGGGUGACAGCAUGCACAGGAUUGCCCCCCCAGGGAAGAUGACCUGAGCCUUGGAGUCCAGGAUCUUUGUACGUGUGGUAUGCAUUCACACACCACACACGUGUGCAUGGACACAUUUGUACAUACAUGUGGAGGUCGGAAGUUGACAUCAGAUGUCCUCCUCUAUCGCUCUCCACAUAAUUUUUUUCUGACAGGGUCUUUCACUGAACCUGAAGUUCAUUGAUUGGGCUGUUUUGUGUGGCUAGCGAGCCCAGGAUCUCCAUGCCUCUACCUUUCCUGUAUUGGGGUUGCAGGUGUGAAUGAUGCCAGGCACAUGUUUGCUGGGGGCGGAUUCAAGCCCUCGUGUUUAUGCAGCAAACACUUUACUUCUAGUCUCAGAAUCUGAGAUUUUAAAAACUAGUAUUUCACUUUGGACUCCCAUCCAACAAUGUGAGAUGCACUCUCACCCUGAACUCUUGGGGGAGGGUCUAGGCCCUGCCCUAUAUGAAA